Molecule: ribosomal RNA, 301 nt
Filed under: uncultured bacterium
Lineage: Bacteria
Description: partial 16S ribosomal RNA
Rfam family: Bacterial small subunit ribosomal RNA
Source: RNAcentral
CAGUCGCCACGGUAAUACGUAGGUGGCAAGCGUUGUCCGGAAUUAUUGGGCGUAAAGCGCGCGCAGGCGGUUUCUUAAGUCUGAUGUGAAAGCCCCCGGCUUAACCGGGGAGGGUCAUUGGAAACUGGGAGACUUAGAGUGCAGAAGAGGAGAGUGGAAUUCCAUGUGUAGCGGUGAAAUGCGUAGAUAUAUGGAGGAACACCAGUGGCGAAGGCGACUCUCUGGUCUGUAACUGACGCUGAGGCGCGAAAGCGUGGGGAGCAAACAGGAUUAGAUACCCCCGUAGUCCCUGUCUCUUAUU